UACGGGGGGGGCAAGCGUUGUUCGGAAUUACUGGGCGUAAAGCGCGUGUAGGCGGUCCGGUAAGUCCGCUGUGAAAGUCGAGGGCUCAACCCUCGAAUGCCGGUGGAUACUGUCGGGCUUGAGUACGGGAGAGGCGAGUGGAAUUCCUGGUGUAGCGGUGAAAUGCGCAGAUAUCAGGAGGAACACCGAUUGCGAAGGCAGCUCGCUGGAACGUUACUGACGCUGAGACGCGAAAGCGUGGGGAGCAAACAGG
This 253-nucleotide ribosomal RNA is filed under the name uncultured bacterium. Its description in RNAcentral is "partial 16S ribosomal RNA". It matches the Rfam family "Bacterial small subunit ribosomal RNA", at positions 524 to 776 of the family's 1533-position model. The record is from RNAcentral.